This 492-nucleotide ribosomal RNA is filed under the name uncultured bacterium. RNAcentral's name for it is "partial 16S ribosomal RNA". It matches the Rfam family "Bacterial small subunit ribosomal RNA", at positions 29 to 507 of the family's 1533-position model. The record is from RNAcentral.
AGUGAACGCUGGCGGUAGGCCUAACACAUGCAAGUCGAACGGCAGCACAGUAAGAGCUUGCUCUUACGGGUGGCGAGUGGCGGACGGGUGAGGAAUACAUCGGAAUCUACUUUUUCGUGGGGGAUAACGUAGGGAAACUUACGCUAAUACCGCAUACGACCUACGGGUGAAAGCAGGGGAUCUUCGGACCUUGCGCGAUUGAAUGAGCCGAGGUCGGAUUAGCUAGUUGGUGGGGUAAAGGCCCACCAAGUGGACGAUGCGUAGCUGGUCUGAGAGGAUGAACAGCCACACUGGAACAGAGACACGGACCAGACUCCUACGGGAGGCAGCAGUGGGGAAUAUUAGGCAAUGGGCGCGAGCCGGAUCCAGCCAUACCGCGGGGGUGAAGAAGGCCUUCGGGUUGUAAAGCCCUUUUGUUGGGAAAGAAAAGCAGCAGGUUUAUACCCCGCUGUUCUGACGGUACCCAAAGAAUAAGCACCGGCUAACUUCGUG